RNAcentral lists this ribosomal RNA (857 nucleotides) under Zaprionus sp. K1 AY-2009. RNAcentral describes it as "eukaryotic LSU rRNA". It matches the Rfam family "Eukaryotic large subunit ribosomal RNA", at positions 58 to 768 of the family's 3401-position model. Lineage: Eukaryota; Metazoa; Arthropoda; Insecta; Diptera; Drosophilidae. The record is from RNAcentral.
AAAGAAACUAACAAGGAUUUUCUUAGUAGCGGCGAGCGAAAAGAAAUCAGUUCAGCACUAAGUCACUUUGUCUAUAUGGCAAAUGUGAGAUGCAGUGUAUGGAACAUCAAUAUUCUAGUAUGAGAAAUUAACGAUUUAAGUCCUUCUUAAAUGAGGCCAUUUACCCAUAGAGGGUGCCAGGCCCGUAUAACGUUAAUGAUUACUAGAUGGUGUUUCCAAAGAGUCGUGUUGCUUGAUAGUGCAGCACUAAGUGGGUGGUAAACUCCAUCUAAAACUAAAUAUAACCAUGAGACCGAUAGUAAACAAGUACCGUGAGGGAAAGUUGAAAAGAACUCUGAAUAGAGAGUUAAAUAGUACGUGAAACUGCUUAGAGGUUAAGCCCGAUGAACCUGAAUAUCCAUUAUGGAAAAUUCAUCAUUAGAGUUGUAAUAUUUAAACAAUAUUAUAAUGAUAGUGUGCAUUUUUUCCAUAUAAGGACAUUGUAAUCUAUUAGCAUACAAAAUUUAUCAUAAAAUUGUGACUUAUUGUUUAUUUUAAUUAUUAUGCUUGCAUUUUAACAUAAAAUAAAUGUUGCAAAUUUGAUAAAGUGCUGAUAGAUUUAUAUGAAUACAGUGUGUUAAUUUUUCGAAAUUAUAUAAUGGCAUGAUUAUCAUUGAUUUUUAUGUUUAUUAUAGGCACUUGUAUGAUUAACAAUGCGAAAGAUUCAGGAUACCUUCGGGACCCGUCUUGAAACACGGACCAAGGAGUCUAACAUAUGUGCAAGUUAUUGGGAUAUAAACCUAAUAGCGUAAUUAACUUGACUAUUAAUGGGAUUAGUUUUUUAACUAUUUAUAGUUAAUUAACACAAUCCCGGGGCG